GACGAACGCUGGCGGCGUGCUUAACACAUGCAAGUCGAGCGGUAAGGCCCUUUCGGGGGUACGACGAGCGGCGAACGGGUGAGUAACACGUGGGUGACCUGCCCUCAGCUCUGGGAUAAGCCUGGGAAACCGGGUACUAAUACCGGAUAUGACUCCAUGACGCAUGUUGUGGGGUGGAAAGCCUUGUGCGGCUGAGGAUGGGCCCGCGGCCUAUCAGCUUGUUGGUGGGGUGAUGGCCUACCAAGGCGACGACGGGUAGCCGGCCUGAGAGGGCGACCGGCCACACUGGGACUGAGACACGGCCCAGACUCCUACGGGAGGCAGCAGUGGGGAAUCUUGCGCAAUGGGCGAAAGCCUGACGCAGCGACGCCGCGUGGGGAUGACGGCCU
Molecule: ribosomal RNA, 389 nt
Filed under: uncultured bacterium
Lineage: Bacteria
Description: bacterial SSU rRNA
Rfam family: Bacterial small subunit ribosomal RNA
Source: RNAcentral